Molecule: unclassified non-coding RNA, 342 nt
Filed under: soil metagenome
Description: partial contains 5.8S ribosomal RNA, internal transcribed spacer 2, and large subunit ribosomal RNA
Rfam family: 5.8S ribosomal RNA (bases 1-120)
Source: RNAcentral
GAUGAAGAACGUAGCGAAAUGCGAUACGUAAUGUGAAUUGCAGAAUUCAGUGAAUCAUCGAGUCUUUGAACGCACAUUGCGCCCGCCAGCACUCUGGCGGGCAUGCCUGUCCGAGCGUCAUUUACCACCCUCGGGCCCCCUUGGGGGCCCGGUGCUGGGGGCACGGCCCAGGCCGCCCCCGAAAUGCAGUGGCGACCCCGCCGCGUCCUCCCCUGCGCAGUAGCACAAUCUCGCACCGGAAGCGCGGAGGCGGUCACGCCUGGAAACGCCCCAACUCAACGCAGUUGACCUCGGAUCAGGUAGGAGUACCCGCUGAACUUAAGCAUAUCAAUAAGCGGAGGA